Molecule: long non-coding RNA, 220 nt
Filed under: Elaeis guineensis (African oil palm)
Lineage: Eukaryota; Viridiplantae; Streptophyta; Magnoliopsida; Arecales; Arecaceae
Description: long non-coding RNA (EGUI_LNC039385)
Source: RNAcentral
GUGUGGAUGCAUUCUAACUCAAGUUCAUGGAGUGUAAAAAGCAAGUUCACCACCUCAUGCCCAUGCUGGACCUGAGCUCCAUUCAGCCCGACAAGGAGUCGGAUGAGUCAGGUGAUGAGGAUGCAGAGGCCGAAGCAGACCUUCCCCAAUCGAGCUCCUGAAUAUCUCUUGUACUCUUUUCCUUUGUAUUUGUAAUAAAUCUUUUUUGGAAAUGAAAUGA